AUUGGAUGAGCCCGCGGCCUAUCAGCUUGUUGGUGGGGUAACGGCCUACCAAGGCGAUGACGGGUAGCUGGCGUGAGAGCGUGGCCAGCUACACUGGGACUGAGACACGGCCCAGACUCCUACGGGAGGCAGCAGUGGGGAAUAUUGCGCAAUGGGCGAAAGCCUGACGCAGCGACGCCGCGUGGGGGAGGAAGGCCUCAGGGUUGUAAAGCUCUUUUAGUGGGGAAGAAACACCCCGGGACGAAUAAUCCCGGGGCUUGACGGUACCCACAGAAAUAGUUCCGGCUAACUACGUGCCAGCAGCCGCGGCCGAAU
RNAcentral lists this ribosomal RNA (315 nucleotides) under uncultured actinomycete. RNAcentral's name for it is "bacterial SSU rRNA". It matches the Rfam family "Bacterial small subunit ribosomal RNA", at positions 220 to 526 of the family's 1533-position model. The record is from RNAcentral. Lineage: Bacteria; Bacillati; Actinomycetota; Actinomycetes; Actinomycetales.